This 466-nucleotide ribosomal RNA is filed under the name uncultured bacterium. RNAcentral describes it as "partial 16S ribosomal RNA". It matches the Rfam family "Bacterial small subunit ribosomal RNA", at positions 28 to 505 of the family's 1533-position model. The record is from RNAcentral.
GACGAACGCUGGCGGCGUGCUUAACACAUGCAAGUCGAACGGAAAGGCCCUGCUUUUGUGGGGUGCUCGAGUGGCGAACGGGUGAGUAACACGUGAGUAACCUGCCCUUGACUUUGGGAUAACUUCAGGAAACUGGGGCUAAUACCGGAUAGGAGCUCCUGCUGCAUGGUGGGGGUUGGAAAGUUUCGGCGGUUGGGGAUGGACUCGCGGCUUAUCAGCUUGUUGGUGGGGUAGUGGCUUACCAAGGCUUUGACGGGUAGCCGGCCUGAGAGGGUGACCGGCCACAUUGGGACUGAGAUACGGCCCAGACUCCUACGGGAGGCGGCAGUGGGGAAUAUUGCACAAUGGGCGGAAGCCUGAUGCAGCAACGCCGCGUGCGGGAUGACGGCCUUCGGGUUGUAAACCGCUUUCGCCUGUGACGAAGCGUGAGUGACGGUAAUGGGUAAAGAAGCGCCGGCUAACUACG